This 439-nucleotide ribosomal RNA is filed under the name Cyprinus carpio (common carp). Its description in RNAcentral is "partial 12S ribosomal RNA". It matches the Rfam family "Bacterial small subunit ribosomal RNA", at positions 769 to 1408 of the family's 1533-position model. The record is from RNAcentral. Lineage: Eukaryota; Metazoa; Chordata; Actinopteri; Cypriniformes; Cyprinidae.
AAACUGGGGAUAGAUACCCCACUAUGCUCAGCCGUAAACUCAGACAUCCAGCUACAAUUAGAUGUCCGCCAGGGUACUACGAGCAUUAGCUUAAAACCCAAAGGACCUGACGGUGUCUCAGACCCCCCUAGAGGAGCCUGUUCUAGAACCGAUAACCCCCGUUCAACCUCACCACUUCUAGCCACCCCAGCCUAUAUACCGCCGUCGUCAGCUUACCCUGUGAAGGUAAUAAAAGUAAGCAAAAUGGGCACAACCCAAAACGUCAGGUCGAGGUGUAGCGCAUGAAGUGGGAAGAAAUGGGCUACAUUUUCUAAUAUAGAAUAUUACGAACAUGCACCAUGAAACAAUGCUUGAAGGAGGAUUUAGUAGUAAAAGGGAAAUAGAGUGUCCCUUUGAACCCGGCUCUGAGACGCGUACACACCGCCCGCCGGUCACCCUC